CGGACUCUAAGACUGCUGAUCUUAUUCAGUACAAGGGGAGCUGGAUCGCACCUAUUUUCGUUUGGAAUCUCGCACCUGGUCCCGAUGUACAUGAACUGAACCUCAAGAGUGUGUGCUCAGCACCACUCUGUCUCACACAGGAUCGGAGCCGGACCGGCGAGGACGCCGAACCCAUUUACCGCUGCGAACAUGCUCCUGCUCCCGUGCGCUCGCUGGGUGAGACGGUCUGCCUGACAAGCAGCUGCCCAGCAGAAGAAGACAUUGUACCAGGCUGUUGCCCAGCUGGACAGGGUGAGAGGGACAUAGUCCCACCGCUAUUUCUUCAAAGGACUCUCUGGACAUAACUGCAUAUCAGGAACCUGCAGAAUAAACACCAUAUUGCUGUGCCUUGCUUUUACAUACCUUCUGCACUUCUUUAUCGUACAUGUAACGUACGUUUUGGAACUGUAUUUUUUACAGGACCAGCGCAGACACCUAAUACUGUGCCUCGUAUUACAGCGAUUAUCUGUGUUGACAGCUUUUGCACCUGAAUGUCUAUGCAUAUCCAUGAACUUUGACCUAUAGGACAUUAUAUGCACCA
Molecule: long non-coding RNA, 580 nt
Organism: Hyla sarda
Lineage: Eukaryota; Metazoa; Chordata; Amphibia; Anura; Hylidae
Exons: 3
Source: RefSeq, a predicted model, not a curated record